RNAcentral lists this ribosomal RNA (484 nucleotides) under uncultured bacterium. RNAcentral describes it as "partial 16S ribosomal RNA". It matches the Rfam family "Bacterial small subunit ribosomal RNA", at positions 28 to 507 of the family's 1533-position model. The record is from RNAcentral.
AUUGAACGCUGGCGGCAUGCUUUACACAUGCAAGUCGAACGGCAGCGCGGGCUUCGGCCUGGCGGCGAGUGGCGAACGGGUGAGUAAUGCAUCGGAACGUGCCCAGUAGUGGGGGAUAGCCCGGCGAAAGCCGGAUUAAUACCGCAUACGACCUGAGGGUGAAAGCGGGGGACCGAAAGGCCUCGCGCUAUUGGAGCGGCCGAGGUCGGAUUAGCUAGUUGGUGGGGUAAAGGCUUACCAAGGCGACGAUCCGUAGCUGGUCUGAGAGGACGACCAGCCACACUGGGACUGAGACACGGCCCAGACUCCUACGGGAGGCAGCAGUGGGGAAUUUUGGACAAUGGGGGCAACCCUGAUCCAGCCAUGCCGCGUGCGGGAAGAAGGCCUUCGGGUUGUAAAGCGCUUUUGUUCGGGAAGAAAUCCUCUGGGCUAAUACCCCGGGGGGAUGACGGUACCGGAAGAAUAAGCACCGGCUAACUACGUG